RNAcentral lists this long non-coding RNA (3316 nucleotides) under Heterocephalus glaber (naked mole-rat). Its description in RNAcentral is "lncRNA (ENSHGLG00000045490.1)". The record is from RNAcentral. Lineage: Eukaryota; Metazoa; Chordata; Mammalia; Rodentia; Bathyergidae.
UGAAGGCAGAGAGAAGAGGAAAGAAAUAGCCAGCUGUGCGCCAUCCCUGUCAGCACUUCUAGUGGCCUGCGGCCACACCCUCCCGAGGUACUCAGCCAGCUCUUCACUGGCAGCAGGGAAAAGCUGAGUCUCUCCAGUUCUUAGGCUCCAUAUCUAGAGGUAAAUGGCCCAGAGAUUUUUCUGAGGGCAUUCCUUAUUCUUCAUUUGAUGGCAUGAGCACCAAGAAGACAGGAGCCGAGAAACAUUACCAUUUUUGGAACAAAGUGACAAAGGAAAACAGAAAGAGACAGAAGGGCCCAUCCUUCGGGAAGAGCGCACUAGCGCGUGAGUUAGUGGCAGACCCACUCCAGGGUUCAGCGGAGACUGCAAUCCCCCGUGUUCCUGUGUCUCUGAGAUAUUCCACAUAAAUGAUUAACAGUGGAUCAACAGACUAAAAACAAAGCAUGUUUACAGCACUUCAUUUAUACUGCCUUGUUGCUUGACAAAAUUCCGUUAUGCUUCCUGUCGGUAGUGCCUGAGGACAUGAAAAGGUAUCAUUUUGAGUCUUGGAAAUGAUGAUGACUGUGUCCCCAGCCCAGGGCUGUGGCCUGAUUCAACGAAGUCAACCAUCACAUCUCAAGUCCCUCCAAUCAGAGCCAUGGGUCAGGAGAGAAGAGCCUUGGAGAAGACACCACAGGCAGCUCGGCACGCUUGUCUGAAGCCCGUAGCCCCACCUAGGACCUCUUCUGCUCAGUGAACUGAUAAACCUUCAUUAUUACUUCGACCACUGUGGGCAGAAAUUUCCAGUAUUUGCACCAAAGAUGGAAGAAUUUCACUAAUAACAAUAGCUAGUGGCUGUUGAACACUUUACCCUGUGCCAGGCACUCUGCUAAACACUUUAGAUGUUUGACUAUGUCUAAUCCUCUCAACCUUGGAGACAGAUUAUUUCUAACCCCAUUUAUAGAUUAGAGAGUCUAGGUUUAGAAAAGUUAAAUAACUUAUCCAAGGGCACAUAGAAUAAACUUGAAUGUCCUUAGGAGGUUAGGUCAAGUGGAGAUAAAAAACUGUCCACUGGAUUGAGCAACAUGCUAUGCACCAAGAUGUUUAGAGGAAACAUCUUCACAGGCUGCACUGAGAUGGACCAAGGUGAAUGGAGGCAGGUUGAGGGUAGGCAAGCACCAAGGGAGUAGAAACACAUGUGUGGCAACAUUUUGAAGAAGUUCAGCACACAUCUGGUCCUCUAGAUCAGCCAGAAUGCUUUGGGUUGCACAUCAUAAAACAUCAUAUUUUGGAUGUUCUUAAACAAUUUUUUUUUCACAUAGCAGGAAGCCUAGAGAUAUGGAAGACUGAAACAUUGAUCAGUGGCUCAACAGUGUCAUUAGGGACCAGGUUCUUCUACAGUCUUGUUCUGGUCUUUGAUACACCGCUGUUUCACUGUGAGACAUUUAGAUGCAGGUUUCUUAAUGUGUAUACAGCUUGGUUUGGAUGUAUUGAAUUUACUUCAUCUAUAGCUUUAUGUCUUUCAUAAAUUCUGGAAAAUUAUUACUCAAUAUUCUGAGAAUCAUAGAAAAUGCUUGUGCAUUAUGAGAUAGUAGAGCAUUUUUAUGACUAAAUCUAGCCUACCAGGGCUUUAAUUCUAUACUUGAAAAAUAGUUAUUAUGAAAGGAAGAUAAACUCAAGUUUGACUCUUAGCCUAAUUUCAUCAUCUACAUCAUAGAACAUAUCAGCAUAGCCCCUGCCUUAUAGGAUAGUGAUGACCCAGUCUGAUAGUAUCUGACAUACCCAGUAGGGACCACGCCAGUAUGGUACAACAACCUAUUGUACUGGCUGUGGACUCUCUGUCCACAAACCAUACAUCCUGUAAAGUGACGGAACCAACAGGGUCAGAAAUCACCUGCACUGACUCUACUUUCUACUGUAAUCACCAGUUGUCCUUGAUGGCUGUUGCCCCCAUUAGCGUUCAAGAGUGUUCAUGAUCCAUCAGAUGGGCAAAGGCACUCUUGAAUGAGAGACUUCAUUAUUUUCUUGUUUAUAAAAGAGACAUGAAAGUCACAUCUAUUUUAAAUUGGAUUUUGUUUUUUUUUGGUACCGGGGAUCGAACUUGGGUCCUUGUGCUUUCGCAGCAGGCAGCAAAACCACUGAGCUAAAUCCCCGCCCCAUAUUUUAAAUUGGAUUUUGCUAUGAAUGAGAUGAUAAGAUGCAUUCUAAGCAGAAUGCCUUGAAAAUUCCCCUUGUCUGUAGGCGCCUGUAGCAUGUCCUAUCCCUCUCCAUUACCUACUUCCAUUUCAUUCACCAACUAAGUCUUGAAUCCAUUUGGUUUCCUAAAUACACAUCUUUUUCACCUGGAUUAACACAGUGGCAUCUCUUAUAAUUUAGAUCUGGGGAGUCCCCUAAAUCUUUCAUGUCUUCAGAUCAAUGCAAUUGGACAAGAGAUACUUAGUAACAUCCCAAAGACCAUGUCUCGUGAAAAUGUAUAUGAGGACCCUCGGUCCAUCCCACGGCUUCGUGUUCAUGGUAGGAAAGGUACGUUCUGAGUCAGAGGUGAAAAACGUACAAUGUGAGGAUUUCAUCUCCUUCCUGAGCUGGUGGAAGGCAUGGCUAAUGUAUUGCAGCAUUCUUUCCUCCUGAGUUCCGACAAGGACUCUGAGUUUUUCCUUAGUGUUUCAGUUUCCAUGGCAAAUUAAUUAAUUAACAUAUUAACUGAAAAUUACUUCUGAACCUGUUGGGUUUAAACAUGAAGCGUCUUCCAAAGACCUAAGUAUCGACGAAGGCUUGGGUUUCAGUGCAGCAAAGUCCAGAGAAAUAGGGCUGGGGAGGGGAUGGGAUCUGGGUUAAUCCACGAAUCAACUGAUGGUGGACUGUAUUGUUAGGGGUGGAGCCCCGCUGGAGGAAGUGGGUCACUGGGGGCGUGGCCUUGGGGACUGCAUCUUUCCCGGCUCUUUCCUCCAGGCUCUUCUCUCUGCUUCCUGGCUACUUGGAGGUAGAAAGUAACGACAUUAAAAAUACAUAACAAAAUCAUAUAAUUCUGUCGCUCAUUAUGAACACAAUAAAAUACUUUUCUAAGUUAGGGGGGACAUCAGACUCAGGGACUACAAGAUCUCUCCAAAGCUAAAAUUCUAAACCUUUGUUGCAUGAUCUUUCUGGCUAUUAAAUUUCUCUCUGUUGAGGAGUAAGAACCGGAAAGGCGCCUCAAAACAGCAUAUGUGAGGAACAGCUUUGAUCGUAGUAUCAUUUCCACUCCGGACUCAGGCAGGCGUGCUCUGUUUCACGCUCCGUCCUAGGUCGGAGCAGCCACGGGGACCGGAAGCUGCAGUUCAGCCCUAGCACGAAGUGGUCC